UACGGAGGGAGCGAACGUUGUUCGGAUUUACUGGGCGUAAAGGGUGUGUAGGCGGUCUUGUAAGUCUGGGGUGAAAUCCCUCGGCUCAACCGAGGAACGGCGCUUGAUACUGCAUGGCUUGAGGGAGACAGGGGUAAGCGGAACUGAUGGUGGAGCGGUGAAAUGCGUUGAUAUCAUCAGGAACACCAGUGGCGAAAGCGGCUUACUGGGUCUCUUCUGACGCUGAGGAGCGAAAGCUAGGGUAGCGAACGGG
RNAcentral lists this ribosomal RNA (253 nucleotides) under uncultured bacterium. RNAcentral describes it as "partial 16S ribosomal RNA". It matches the Rfam family "Bacterial small subunit ribosomal RNA", at positions 524 to 776 of the family's 1533-position model. The record is from RNAcentral.